RNAcentral lists this ribosomal RNA (279 nucleotides) under uncultured bacterium. RNAcentral's name for it is "partial 16S ribosomal RNA". It matches the Rfam family "Bacterial small subunit ribosomal RNA", at positions 28 to 205 of the family's 1533-position model. The record is from RNAcentral.
GACGAACGCUUGCGGCGUGCCUAAGAAAUGCAAGUCGAGCGGGGAUGCUUCGCAUUGAGUUGAUAGAUCGAUCCUAGUGGAUAGUUGAUAGUAACGGGCCGGGUCUUCCGUUUCCCAACUAUCAACCAUCAACUAUCGACCAUCAACUGAAUGCGGGGCAUUCGUAGCGGCGAACGGUCGCGUAACACGUAAGCAACCUGCCCCGAAGACCGGGACAACAUUCCGAAAGGAGNGCUAAUACCGGAUGUGGCCACUGGGGGACAUCCUCUGGUGAUUAAA